CCCUUAGAUGUCCGGGGCCGCACGCGCGCUACACUGAAGGAAUCAGCGUGGCUUUCUCCCUGACCCGAAAGGGUUGGGAAACCCGUUGAAUCUCCUUCGUGAUAGGGAUUGGGGCUUGAAAUUGUUCCCCAUGAACGAGGAAUUCCCAGUAAGCGCGAGUCAUAAGCUCGCGUUGAUUACGUCCCUGCCCUUUGUACACACCGCCCGUCGCUACUACCGAUUGAACGGUUUAGUGAGGGCCUCGGAUUGGUCUCGGCCCGCUCUUUACCGGGCGGCACCGUUGGUCGAGAAGACGCUCGAACUUGAUCGUUUAGAGGAAGUAAAAGUCGUAACA
This 334-nucleotide ribosomal RNA is filed under the name uncultured eukaryote. RNAcentral describes it as "partial 18S ribosomal RNA". It matches the Rfam family "Eukaryotic small subunit ribosomal RNA", at positions 1470 to 1796 of the family's 1831-position model. The record is from RNAcentral.